This 76-nucleotide transfer RNA is filed under the name Candidatus Omnitrophota bacterium. RNAcentral's name for it is "Candidatus Omnitrophica bacterium tRNA-Asp". It matches the Rfam family "tRNA". From Rfam's summary of the family: Transfer RNA (tRNA) molecules are approximately 80 nucleotides in length. Their secondary structure includes four short double-helical elements and three loops (D, anti-codon, and T loops). The record is from RNAcentral. Lineage: Bacteria; Pseudomonadati; Candidatus Omnitrophota.
GGGGGUGUAGCUCAGCGGCGAGAGCGGCGGCUCGUCACGCCGAAGGUCGCGGGUUCGAGUCCCGUCAUCCCCGCCA